GCUCUACUUUCGACGGCGACGGUGACGAUCGAGAUUCCUCACGGUUUCAAUAACAGAUUCCUUUAUGUGUUUAAUUCCAUUAAUUCAGAGGCCCACUACGAAUUAUUCAUUGUGUCGUUUGCGUCAGCGAGAUCUGUGUUAUCGAGUAUAAAUAAGUCAGAAUUUCUCUUCUUAAAAUCGUGAUCUCUUCAUCUCUCUUCUACUCAUCUCUCUUAUAGUAUACAAAUUCAUUGCUUUUUCUGCACAGUUCCAAUAGAUUUCAUUCUCAUAUAAUGGUCAAGCAGUCUCUUCUACUUGCUGACUUGAAUGUCUGCCGGUGUUCUUCCGUGCCCAGAUUCUGGGAAGCAAACUACCAAUAUAUAGAGGAUAUAUAGUUGUUCUCACUUGAUUUGAUUUUUUCUUUUUUUGUAGGAUGUUGGAAAAGCUGUGUCUGAAGACUUAUCAUAUUCUCUAUGUAGACAAAACCAUGAGAGACAAAACCAUUGGUUAGUUUCCUUUCAUCAUCCCAGUUCAUGGUUAAUGGGAACAGAAUAGUUUCCUUCCUUCUGGAAACAUCAUAUCAUUGGUCACGACAGUGUGAUGGCAUCCACCGUGAACAUAACCAAAAUGAAAAAGAAUUUGUUGUAAUGUACAGUGCUGGAGUGCACACACCUAGAGAAGAGAAUGGAAUCUUCCCAGCUCAGAACUAGGAACCUCACAACCAGUGACUUAGUAAAAGAUUACCUGCAUUAAUUGAUGGGUGGAAGAUCGAGUGUUGAAGAAGAUAUUCUCUGCCAGUUCACCUUCCCUGAGAGACCUGGUGCUCUGAUGAACUUCCUGGACUCUUUCGGUCCACGUCCACUUCCUGAACUUCCUAGCCUUUUCCAUUACCGUGAGGGUGGGGCAGGCGCGGACGUGCUGGUUGAGAUCCAAGUGCCGGAGCAAGAAAUGGUGAGUUAAGAAACCGAGCUCAAGUUCUUGGAUAUGAGUACGUCUUGGUAAGUGAAGACACCGUUUUCAAGCUUCUUAUGCACUGAGUUUAAAGUUGUACAUGGAGAGAUCAAAACCAAGAAGGAAGUAGAAGAAACAUGAGAGGUCUUCCUUGCGGUUGUAAAUCAAAGUAGAGGCGCAUGGGUUCGAGUUAUUUUUGACAAUCCAGUAAAUUAAGGAUCUAAAGACACGACAACAGAAUCUCGAUGGAGUCGAUUAGAUUGUCAUCGCAACAGAAAUAGACAAGAGUUUAUUGGAAUCGAGAAGCUCUUGGGUUCUGUUCAGACAAAACAGCUGCAAAGGGAUUCAGUGAACGGAGAAACUUGGAUGUUAACCAAGAUGGAGUUCUUUGGUGUGGAGAAGAAGAUAAAAUGGGAUUUUUGUUUGGUUUUUGGUUGAAGUUGGGCCAGGUGGAGAUUAAUAAUGGGCUUCAUUUUUAAUUUUGUUAUGCAGUAGUUCACUCUAAAACCAAACUUUGAGAUACUUGCACAAAGACAAGUCGGUUAAUUUUGUAUGUGAAAUAGAAAAAU
This is a long non-coding RNA of Raphanus sativus (radish), 1499 nucleotides long. RefSeq lists it as uncharacterized. Lineage: Eukaryota; Viridiplantae; Streptophyta; Magnoliopsida; Brassicales; Brassicaceae. The record is from RefSeq and is a predicted model, not a curated record. The transcript has 7 exons.